AUUACUCAGUAGAGCCCAUGCUUCCAAGAGUUCAAUAUGGCGGCCUACAAGACUAGAAUUUAUGCAUCUUUUUAAUCAAAAUGAUCCGCUGUUAUCGUACUCUAUCGUCGGAUGAGUAUAAAUUCAAUCAUUGGGUUUAGCUUUCUCUAAUCAUGUUGUGCAUGCGAGUUGGUUUUGGUCGUGUGCUAUGGAGGAGGUCACUGAACUCAAACCGUUCGCUUUCUGGGAGCACGAGUAUCGAUGUAUUCGAUCGUAAAGCCAAACGACGUCAGAGGAACAGAGCCGCAAUGGCAGAUGACGUACAUGUAUAUGACUACCUCAAGGAUGAGGUUGCACAUCGUUUAGCUGAUAGAAUCGGGGAUAUUGCAAGGCACUUCCCCAUGGCUAUGGAUUUAGGGUGUGGAAGAGGACAUCUGAACAAGCAUUUAUCAAAGGAUCAAAUUGGAAAGCUUGUUCUUCUUGAUUCUGCAGAAAAAAUGCUGAAGCAAUGCCAGGAGAAUGAAGUGCAAUUAUUGAAGGUCCAUGGGGAUGAAGAAUUCCUCCCGUUUGAAAAAAACACAUUUGACCUGGUUGUUAGCAGCUUGAGUUUGCACUGGGUUAAUGAUCUUCCUGGAACCUUUCACCAGGUAUUAUCAUGUUUGAAACCAGAUGGAGCCUUUGUUGGAGCCAUGUUUUCAGGCGACACGCUGUUUGAGCUACGUUGUGCUCUCCAGAUUGCAGAAAUGGAAAGAGAAGGAGGUUUUGCUGCUCAUGUUUCUCCUUUUACUGAGAUGCGAGAUAUUGGGAAUUUACUGACAAGGGCUGGCUACAGUCUCACUACCAUUGAUUCAGAUGAAAUAAGUGUGGGUUACCCAAGUAUGUUUGAACUGAUGCAUGAUCUAAAAGGUAUGGGUGAGAAUGGUGCUUCAAGGACUAGAAAAAACAUUCUACACCGUGACACUUUACAAGCAGCAACUGCUAUUUACAAAGAGAUGUAUGGCUUAGAGGAGGGAGGAAUACCAGCAACCUUCCAGAUUCUAUAUUUUAUUGGCUGGAAACCGUCACCAACUCAGCAAAAGCCUUCUGAUCGAGGCUCGGCUACCCGGAGUUUAGCAGAUUUGGAUACGCUUGACUCAUUAGACGAUAUGACUUCAGCAGAUGACAACUAAUACUCUAUGAAUUGAUACUUUGUCUUGGGUGGAUCGUACAAAGCACUGACCCUCAAUGAGGAGGUCCAUGGACCGACUAGACCCUCAUAUUGAGGCAUCAUGGUUUCAAGGGAAGACGACCUGACGUCAUGCAACACCUGUUUCAGCAUUCCCAGCAAAAAUUUGCUCCAUUCAACGGAAGAGGAUAACUUCCCUUCCGCAACGGAUAUUGGGUUACCCUAGUGAUUUCAAGUGGUGAUAGCUGUAAGCCGGGUGAAGAUCCUCCAGUCAGGCACACAAUAUCGGAUUUCAAGAUUAUAUACUAACAAAUACACAUCGUAAAAAAUAAAGGGUUAAAGCUUUA
This is an RNA transcript of Nematostella vectensis (starlet sea anemone), 1491 nucleotides long. It is a transcript of the gene named arginine-hydroxylase NDUFAF5, mitochondrial, with no coding region annotated. NCBI's taxonomy places the organism in Eukaryota, Metazoa, Cnidaria, Anthozoa, Actiniaria, Edwardsiidae. The record is from RefSeq and is a predicted model, not a curated record. The transcript has 14 exons.